This 749-nucleotide ribosomal RNA is filed under the name uncultured Glomerales. RNAcentral describes it as "LSU rRNA". It matches the Rfam family "Eukaryotic large subunit ribosomal RNA", at positions 38 to 633 of the family's 3401-position model. Lineage: Eukaryota; Fungi; Glomeromycota; Glomeromycetes; Glomerales; Glomeraceae. The record is from RNAcentral.
GCAUAUCAAUAAGCGGAGGAAAAGAAACUAACAAGGAUUCCCCUAGUAACGGCGAGUGAAGCGGGAAGAGCUCAAAUUUGAAAUCUGGCGGUCUACGGCCGUCCGAGUUGUAAUCUAGAGAGGUGUUUUCCGUGCCGGACCGUGUACAAGUCCCUUGGAACAGGGCGUCAUAGAGGGUGAGAAUCCCGUCCAUGACACGGACUCCCGGUGCUCUGCGAUACACCUUCAAAGAGUCGAGUUGUCUGGGAAUGCAGCUCAAAAUGGGUGGUAAAUUUCAUCUAAAGCUAAAUAUUGGCCAGAGACCGAUAGCGCACAAGUAGAGUGAUCGAAAGAUGAAAAGAACUUUAAAAAGAGAGUUAAACAGUACGUGAAAUUGUUGAAAGGGAAACGAUUGAAGCCAGUCGUACCUUCGGGUAAUCAGCCUUUCGAGUGCGAUUCUGUGGAGCGUGAGGAGUUAAACGCCUUCAUGACUGCAUAUUCGUGCACUUUGGGUGUACUUGCCCGUGUGGUAGGUUAACAUCAAUUUCGGAUGUCAUAAAAUGGCUGGAGGAAUGUAGCUUCGGUCUCGUACUGAAGUGUUAUAGCCUCUGGUAGAUGUGAUGACCGGGAUUGAGGAUUGCAACGAAUACCUUUUGGGCUAUCCGUCUGAUCUCUGAAAGUUGCUCUGGUGCCGAAAGCUUGCUUACGGUUAUCAAAGUUUGACGUUCAAAAGGUUAGAACGGGUUAAAUUCGUUAAGGAUGUUGACGUA